CGUCACACGAUAUCAGCAAGUUCAGGGCACUUCCGGAAGCGCAAGUUCAGCAACGGCAUCGUCAGGCGGCUGGCCAACGGGCUGGUGAGCCACGACGGCGAGAAAUGGGCCGCUCACCGGAGGAUCAUCAACCCCGCCUUCCAUCUCGAGAAACUCAAGAAAAUGAUGCCCGCUUUCGUCGCCUGCUGCAAUGAGCUGGUGACCAGGUGGGAGGAUCACGUGGGGUCCGACGAGGCCAAGGAGAUGGACGUGUGGCCGGAGUUCCAGAACCUCACCGGCGACGUGAUCUCGCGCGCGGCGUUCGGCAGCAGCUUCACCGAAGGGAGGAGGAUUUUCCAGAUGCAGUCGGAGCAGGCCCAGAACCUCAUGAUCACUGCUCCUGCUCGGUUUUAUCAUCCCUGCAGGUUCUUGCCGAUGCGGCUCAACCGACGGGUGAAGGCAAACGCGCGCGAGGUCGAGUCGCUGCUCAAAGGCAUAAUCGGCAAGAGGGAGAAGGCCAUGAAAGACGGCAAUGACCUGCUGGGCGUGCUCAUGGAGUGCAACGCCGCGGAGACGAAGCAAGCCGGGAGCUCCAGGCCCAUCAUGACCAUGGACGACAUCAUCGGCGAACUCAAGCUCUUCUACUUCGCCGGAAUGGACACCACCGCGGUGCUGCUCACCUGGACGCUGGUCGCGCUGAGCAUGCACCCCGAGUGGCAGGACCGCGCGAGGGAGGAGGUCCUGCGCGUCUUCGGGAACAAGGACCAGCCGGACCUGGACGGCAUAAACCAGCUCAAAGUGGUGUCCAUGGUGCUGCACGAGGUGCUCAGGCUGUACCCGCCGGUGAUCCAGUUCGACCGGCAGACGUACGCGGAGGUGGAGCUGGGCGGCGUCAGGUACCCGCCGGGCGUGAUCCUCUCGCUGCCCAUCGUGUUCCUCCACCAUGACCCGGACGUCUGGGGAGAGGACGCCGACGAGUUCAGGCCGGAGAGGUUCGCGGAGGGCGUCUAAAAGGCGUCCGGGAGCUCGUCGUCGCCGGCGUUCUUCCCGUUCGGGUGGGGCCCGCGGGUGUGCGUCGGCCAGAACUUCGCGCUCAUCGAGGCCAAGAUGGCGCUGAGCAGGAUACUGCAGCGCUUCGAGUUCGGGCUGUCGCCGUCCUACAGGCACGCCCCGUUCCCGGUCUCCACCCUGCAGCCUGAUCAUGGCGCGCCCAUCCUGCUCAAGAAACAGAUCUAG
RNAcentral lists this ribosomal RNA (1215 nucleotides) under Triticum aestivum (bread wheat). Its description in RNAcentral is "partial small subunit ribosomal RNA". The record is from RNAcentral. Lineage: Eukaryota; Viridiplantae; Streptophyta; Magnoliopsida; Poales; Poaceae.